UACAGAGACUGCAAGCGUUAUUCGGAUUCACUGGGCGUAAAGGGUGCGCAGGCGGCCGUGUGUGUUGGGCGUGAAAGCCCGGGGCUUAACCCCGGAAUUGCGCCCAAAACUACAUGGCUAGAGCAUUGGAGAGGGUAGCAGAAUUCAUGGUGUAGCAGUGAAAUGCGUAGAUAUCAUGAGGAAUACCAGAGGCGAAGGCGGCUACCUGGACAAUUGCUGACGCUCAGGCACGAAAGCGUGGGGAGCAAAA
This 250-nucleotide ribosomal RNA is filed under the name uncultured bacterium. RNAcentral's name for it is "partial 16S ribosomal RNA". It matches the Rfam family "Bacterial small subunit ribosomal RNA", at positions 524 to 773 of the family's 1533-position model. The record is from RNAcentral.